This 381-nucleotide ribosomal RNA is filed under the name uncultured bacterium. RNAcentral's name for it is "partial 16S ribosomal RNA". It matches the Rfam family "Bacterial small subunit ribosomal RNA", at positions 338 to 733 of the family's 1533-position model. The record is from RNAcentral.
CCUACGGGUGGCAGCAGUGGGGAAUAUUGGGCAAUGGGCGCAAGCCUGACCCAGCAACACCGCGUGAAGGAAGAAGGUACUCGGGUUGUAAACUUCCUUUAUCAGGGACGAAGCAAGUGACGGUACCUGAUGAAUAAGCCUCGGCUAACUACGUGCAAGGAGCCGCGGUAAUACGGAGGCGGCAAUCGUUAUCCGGAUUUAAUGGGUGUAAAGGGCGUGUAGGCGGGAGUGCAAGUCAGGUGUGAAAACUAUGGGCUUAAACCACGGCCGGGAUUUGAAACUGUACUUCUUGAGUGCUGGAGAGGCAUGCGGAAUUCGGGGUGUAGCGGUGAAAUGCGUAGAUAUACGGAGGAACACCGGUGGCGAAGGCAGAAUGCUGGA